AGUUUGAUCCUGGAUAAGAUGAACGCUGGCGGCGUGCCUAAUACAUGCAAGUCGAGUGGUAAGGCCCUUCGGGGUACACGAGCGGCGGACGGCUGAGUAACACGUAGGAACGUACCCCAAAGUGAGGGAUAAGCACCAGAAAUGGUGUCUAAUACCGCAUGUGCUCUAAGGAGUAAAGCUCCGGCGCUUUGGAAACGGCCUGCGCAUGAUUAGCUAGAUGGUGAGGUAAUGGCUCACCAUGGCGACGAUCAUUAGCUGGUCUGAGAGGAUGAUCAGCCAGACUGGGACUGAGACACGGCCCAGACUCCUACGGGAGGCAGCAGUAGGGAAUUUUCCACAAUGGGCGAAAGCCUGAUGGAGCAACGCCGCGUGCAGGAUGAAUGCCUUCGGGUUGUAAACUGCUUUUAUAUGUGACGAAUAUGACGGUAGCAUAUGAAUAAGGAUCGGCUAACUCCGUGCCAGCAGCCGCGGUCAUACGGAGGAUCCAAGCGUUAUCCGGAAUUACUGGGCGUAAAGAGUUGCGUAGGCGGCAUAGUAAGCAGAUAGUGAAAGCGUGUGGCUCAACCAUACUCACAUUAUCUGAACUGCUAAGCUAGAGGACGAGAGAGGUCACUGGAAUUCCUAGUGUAGGAGUGAAAUCCGUAGAUAUUAGGAGGAACACCAAUGGCGUAGGCAGGUGACUGGCUCGUUCCUGACGCUCAGGCACGAAAGCGUGGGGAGCAAACGGGAUUAGAUACCCCGGUAGUCCACGCCGUAAACGAUGGAUGCUAGCUGUUAGAGGUAUCGACCCCUCUAGUAGCGAAGCUAACGCGUUAAGCAUCCCGCCUG
Molecule: ribosomal RNA, 828 nt
Filed under: uncultured bacterium
Lineage: Bacteria
Description: bacterial SSU rRNA
Rfam family: Bacterial small subunit ribosomal RNA
Source: RNAcentral